GAGGAACAAACGGACGAGGACGA
This 23-nucleotide non-coding RNA is filed under the name Cricetulus griseus (Chinese hamster). The record is from RNAcentral. Lineage: Eukaryota; Metazoa; Chordata; Mammalia; Rodentia; Cricetidae.